RNAcentral lists this ribosomal RNA (768 nucleotides) under Triticum aestivum (bread wheat). Its description in RNAcentral is "partial small subunit ribosomal RNA". The record is from RNAcentral. Lineage: Eukaryota; Viridiplantae; Streptophyta; Magnoliopsida; Poales; Poaceae.
AUGGAUGCGCUCGAGCAACGCUACCGCCGGUACGUGCUGCUGGCCACGGCGGUUGGUGAUGGCGAGGAGAGCGUGACGCCGACAGCUCUUCUGGCAGCCUUGGAGGAGCGUUGCAGCGUGGUGGCGUCGGAGGUGGUCAUCGAGGUCGCGUGCCCCCCUCACGACCUGUGGCUCACCUUCUCAACGGAGGAGAAGUGCACCGAUGUGUUUUCGUCGAUGAAGUUCAAGUGCUGCCGCCGCUGGAUCCAGUUUACACGCUGGAGCAGAUUCAUUCGUGCUGAGCCGGGUGCUUUGGAGUAUAGGUGCAAGCUCAGCUUCGAAGGCCUCCCCAACCAAUCCUGGACGACGGAAUCGGUGAAAGCAGUUCUGAAAGACCUCGGUGGCGAACUCAUCAAGAUCCUGCCGCCGACAAACCGCCGCGAGCUCGAGGUAAUGGCCUGGCUUCGUGACCCGUUCUAUGUUGGCAAGUUGGUGACAGUUGAGAUACCUGAGCCAACUCUGUUUAACAAGCAACCUGAGUCGAUGGAUGAGUACGAAGCAAUGCAGUUUGAUUUGGGUGACUACGGGUCGUCGUCGCCAAAGAAGAAGAGGACACUGUUGUAUCCUAUUUUGUGCCAUAUGAAAGAGGUGAUUGAUCGUGGUCCUCUGCUAGCUGAGGACUUGCCUGCUGAGUGGCUACCAGCUGAAGGUGAAGACCUCAGUCGCAAGCACAUAUUCAAGACCGAGCUGGGAAAGAUAGAUGGGACUGGAGAGUCAGAAGCAGUUUGA